UCGUUGUCUCGUGCCCGCUUCGAGAGGACCCCGUUAUUCUGCCGAAGGAAACGCAGCAGCCUCUCAAGGGUCCGCUC
This 77-nucleotide transfer RNA is filed under the name Pararhodospirillum photometricum DSM 122. Its description in RNAcentral is "tRNA-Arg". Lineage: Bacteria; Pseudomonadati; Pseudomonadota; Alphaproteobacteria; Rhodospirillales; Rhodospirillaceae. The record is from RNAcentral.